AAAGUUUCAGAUAUACGAUGUGAAGGCAGGUUUACGUUUGGUGGUAUUAAUCAUCCUCUCCGAACAUAUGAAGAAUAUAUCAAGUGUAUAGAUGAGGAUCAUCAUAAAGAUGGCAAAAGUCCAUUGUCAAUGUUACCUAUAGAUAUGGUUUCACAAGUUCCUUUCGAAUAUAUGCAUCUGGUAUGCUUGGGAGUUAUGAAGAAACUUUUAUCCGCAUGGAUUUGUGGUAAAUAUACACGUUUUUCACACAAAGUUAUCAGCAAGAUUCAUUGCUAUAAUAUCUCAAAGAUUAGAGAAUCUUAAAACAUAUUGUCCAUCAGAAUUUGCAAGACAUCCUAGAGCAAUUCAUGCAUUUACUAAAUACAAGGCAACAGAAUUUCGUCAAUUUCUGCUAUAUACAGGUCCAGUAGUAACGUAUGGUGUUCUGAAUCAACAAGUAUAUACUCAUUUUUUGUUUUUGCAUACUGCCAUAAGAAUAUUGGUAUCCACUUCACCGUCAAAAGCAUAUUUAAACUUUGCUGAACUUGUUCUACAAAAAUUUGUUGCUCGAUGUGAGAAUCUUUAUGGUUCAACAUUCAUUUCAUAUAAUGUGCACGGUCUUCUUCAUCUCACAAAUGAUGUGCGGCAGCUAGGCCCCCUUGAUUCAUUUUCUGCUUUCCCAUAUGAAAAUAAUAUGUCAAUUUUCAGAAAAUACUGUAGAAAACCUAACUUUCCUCUUCAACAGUUUUCCAAUAGGAUGGCAGAGAUGGAAGCUCGUGAAACAAAUUUACAUCGUACCCAAAUUCAUUUUUCCAAACUCAUUGAUUUUUCUACGCAAGUAUGUGCAGCGUAUAAUGGAGGUCCUCUUCCGCCUAAUGUUAAUCCCAGCAGCUGUCAGUAUCGUAAAUUGGUAUUCAAUGGAGUUUUGUUCAGUUUGGAUAUACGAAAUAAUUGCUGUAUUUUACACGAUGGAUCGAUUUGCCUCAUUGUCAAUAUCUUCAUGAACAAGCCAUAUAUUAUUUGGUUGUAAAGAAAUUUCAAAAGGUAGAUUCAUUCUACGAUGUUGGUAUUUCGUCUUCAGAAAUUCAAAUAUAUAAAUGUUGCGCAUUAAGUAGUGAGAUUUUUUGUAUCCAAGUAAAUCAAGUACGCAUCAAAUGUUAUAAAAUGCCUUAUUGGGGUAGUUCAUCAAUAGUAGUAGUGAUGAAGAUGAGCCAGAAGUUAGCGAGUAUGUAGUUGCUGCAAUUAUACAUACAGAUGAUCUAUAAAAUAAUAAUACUGCAUUUAGCUGUUCUCUUAGAUAUAAUAUGCAGGAAGGAAAAUAGAAUCCACACGCACAGGAUGAUUAAUAAAAUACAGAUGCUCUCUACAUUUCUGCGUUUGACAAAACAGGAAUUAUUUUUAAAACAUAAAAAUAUAUAU
Molecule: long non-coding RNA, 1398 nt
Organism: Formica exsecta
Lineage: Eukaryota; Metazoa; Arthropoda; Insecta; Hymenoptera; Formicidae
Exons: 2
Source: RefSeq, a predicted model, not a curated record